RNAcentral lists this unclassified non-coding RNA (503 nucleotides) under uncultured Entrophospora. RNAcentral describes it as "SSU rRNA". It matches the Rfam family "Eukaryotic small subunit ribosomal RNA", at positions 591 to 1092 of the family's 1831-position model. Lineage: Eukaryota; Fungi; Glomeromycota; Glomeromycetes; Entrophosporales; Entrophosporaceae. The record is from RNAcentral.
CCAAUAGCGUAUAUUAGUGUUGUUGCGGUUAAAAAGCUCGUAGUUGAAUUUCGGGAUUGGGAUAUAUCGGUCAUGCCUUUAGGGGCAUGAAUCGGUGUGUAGCCAAUUUCUCACCUUCUGGUGAAUUGGGAUGCUCUUGGGUGUUUCAAUGAACUAGGACUUUUACUUUGAAAAAAUUAGAGUGUUUAAAGCGGGCAUUUUUGCUUGAAUACAUUAGCAUGGAAUAAUAAAAUAGGACGAUGGUUCUAUUUUGUUGGUUUUAGGACCACGUAAUGAUUAAUAGGGAUAGUUGGGGGCAUUAGUAUUCAAUAGUCAGAGGUGAAAUUCUUGGAUUUAUUGAGGACUAACUACUGCGAAAGCAUUUGCCAAGGAUGUUUUCAUUAAUCAAGAACGAAAGUUAGGGGAUCGAAGACGAUUUAUGUACGUCGUAGUCUUAACCAUAAACUAUGCCGACUAGGAAUCAGACAAAGUUCAUUUUUUAACGACUUGUUUGGUACCUUACG